This 259-nucleotide ribosomal RNA is filed under the name uncultured bacterium. RNAcentral's name for it is "partial 16S ribosomal RNA". It matches the Rfam family "Bacterial small subunit ribosomal RNA", at positions 793 to 1055 of the family's 1533-position model. The record is from RNAcentral.
GUCCACGCCCUAACGAUGUCAACUGGUUGUUGGGAGGGUUUCUUCUCAGUAACGUAGCUAACGCGUGAAGUUGACCGCCUGGGGAGUACGGCCGCAAGGUUGAACUCAAGUAAUUGACGGGACCGCACAAGCGGUGGAUGAUGUGGUUUAAUUCGACGCAACGCGAAAACCUUAACCUACCCUUGACAUGUCUGGAAUCCCGCAGAGAUGUGGGAGUGCUCGAAAGAGAGCCAGAACACAGGUGCUGCAUGGCCGUCGU